GAUCAUGGCUCAGGAUGAACGCUAGCGACAGGCUUAACACAUGCAAGUCGAGGGGCAGCAUAAAAGUAGCAAUACUUGGUGGCGACCGGCGCACGGGUGAGUAACGCGUAUGCAACCUACCUAUCAGAGGGGAAUAACCCGGCGAAAGUCGGACUAAUACCGCAUAAAACAGGGGCACCGCAUGGUGAUAUUUGUUAAAGAAAUUCGCUGAUAGAUGGGCAUGCGUUCCAUUAGGUAGUUGGUGAGGUAACGGCUCACCAAGCCGACGAUGGAUAGGGGAACUGAGAGGUUGGUCCCCCACACUGGUACUGAGACACGGACCAGACUCCUACGGGAGGCAGCAGUGAGGAAUAUUGGUCAAUGGGCGGGAGCCUGAACCAGCCAAGUCGCGUGAAGGAAAGAAGGAUCUAUGGUUCGUAAACUUCUUUUGCAGGGGAAUAAAGUGCAGGACGUGUCCUGUUUUGUAUGUACCCUGAGAAUAAGGAUCGGCUAACUCCGUGCCAGCAGCAGC
Molecule: ribosomal RNA, 511 nt
Filed under: uncultured bacterium
Lineage: Bacteria
Description: bacterial SSU rRNA
Rfam family: Bacterial small subunit ribosomal RNA
Source: RNAcentral